This 264-nucleotide ribosomal RNA is filed under the name uncultured bacterium. RNAcentral describes it as "partial 16S ribosomal RNA". It matches the Rfam family "Bacterial small subunit ribosomal RNA", at positions 334 to 595 of the family's 1533-position model. The record is from RNAcentral.
UUUGCCUACGGGGGGCAGCAGUGAGGAAUAUUGGUCAAUGGGCGGUAGCCUGAACCAGCCAAGUAGCGUGAAGGAUGAAGGUUCUAUGGAUUGUAAACUUCUUUUAUAAAGGAAUGAAGUGAUGCACGUGUGCCUUUUUGUAUGUACUUUAUGAAUAAGGAUCGGCUAACUCCGUGCCAGCAGCCGCGGUAAUACGUAGGAUCCGAGCGUUAUCCGGAUUUAUUGGGUUUACAGGGAGCGUAGAUGGGUUGUUAAGUCAGUUGU